Doryrhamphus excisus (bluestripe pipefish) is the source of this 814-nucleotide non-coding RNA. Lineage: Eukaryota; Metazoa; Chordata; Actinopteri; Syngnathiformes; Syngnathidae. The record is from RefSeq and is a predicted model, not a curated record.
UUUUCUGACGGAAUCGCUUUAUUCUUUCUAUUUCUAGGAUGGUCGUCCGUGAUCACUUACUCUGGCAUGGGUUUGCAUCUCCGCUGCUGCCGUUAGCGGGCCUCCACGGACGGUCAUUGUAGAGCGACGCACACUUCUCACAGUGGUAGCCAGCUGUGUGGGUUCAGCACUGCUGUAACGGGACGUACACAAAGAGCCAGGCUGAUUAAAAUCAUCGGGCAAACCAAACUCCAUGCUACAGUUGUGUGCAAACACCUUAAGAACAUCCCAGGAUUUGCCAAAGUCAGUAGAUCGUUCAACGACCAUGGCGGCAGGCCGCGGUGAGCGGAACAACACAACCACAUGGGACAGACAGAACUGUGUUUCCAGGUCCAGAUGGAUCUCAUCAUGUCCCGCUUCUACAAUGGUCCCUGCACUGGAUUCCCACCAGCCGCACUAAAUCCAAAUUACGCGCCUCUUUGAUGUCUAGCCGGAGGAAACCUGAGACGAGGAUAAAAAUAGUCCUUCGUGCAGCCUUAUGGUGCAUUGAGGCCCCAAAGUGAUCUGACAAAUGGAAUUGGCUUUCCAUCAUCUGUAUGUCUGGCUAAUGGGAUUAACGCUGUCAGUCUUCAUCGUGGCAGCUGAUAAUAAACACAUGCGAUGCGGCGUCUAACCGUGCAUUUUUGUAUUCAUUCUUGUAACCACACACAUGGCUGACAUAUUCCACUCCCUCCUUUUACAAAUAAACAACAUGCCUUUUCAGUUUUAUUGCUCAACCAGGAAAAGCAGGACCGCAGAACUGCGUUGGUUUCAAAAAAUAGCAACAAUAAAUUUA